CCCUUGCUGGUCUGGUGGCUAGAAUUCUUGGUUCUCAUCCAGGCUUCCCAGGUUCAAUUCCUGGGCAGGGAA
Molecule: transfer RNA, 72 nt
Filed under: Bos taurus (domestic cattle)
Lineage: Eukaryota; Metazoa; Chordata; Mammalia; Artiodactyla; Bovidae
Also listed under: 1 other name
Rfam family: tRNA
About the family: Transfer RNA (tRNA) molecules are approximately 80 nucleotides in length. Their secondary structure includes four short double-helical elements and three loops (D, anti-codon, and T loops).
Source: Rfam by way of RNAcentral